UACGUAGGGGGCGAGCGUUGUCCGGAUUUACUGGGCGUAAAGAGCGCGUAGGCGGAAAUUUAAGCGUGGCCUGAAAGCCCCCGGCUCAACCGGGGAGUGCGGCUGCGAACUGGGUUUCUUGAGGACGAUAGAGGAGAGUGGAAUUCCUGGUGUAGCGGUGAAAUGCGUAGAUAGUCAGGAGGAAUACCGGUGGCGAAGGCGGCAUCCUGGACCGACAUUGACGCUGAGGAGCGAAAGCUAGGGGAGCAAACGGG
This 254-nucleotide ribosomal RNA is filed under the name uncultured bacterium. RNAcentral's name for it is "partial 16S ribosomal RNA". It matches the Rfam family "Bacterial small subunit ribosomal RNA", at positions 524 to 776 of the family's 1533-position model. The record is from RNAcentral.